Molecule: ribosomal RNA, 484 nt
Filed under: uncultured bacterium
Lineage: Bacteria
Description: partial 16S ribosomal RNA
Rfam family: Bacterial small subunit ribosomal RNA
Source: RNAcentral
GACGAACGCUGGCGGCGUGCUUAACACAUGCAAGUCGAACGAUGAAGCCGGAGCUUGCUCCGGUGGAUUAGUGGCGAACGGGUGAGUAACACGUUAGCAAUCUGCCCUUGACUCUGGGAUAACUGCGGGAAACUGUAGCUAAUACCGGAUACGACACCUUGGGGCAUCGCAGGGUGUGGAAAGAAUUUCGGGCAAGGAUGAGCUCGCGGCCUAUCAGCUAGUUGGUGAGGUAAUGGCUAACCAAGGCGACGACGGGUAGCCGGCCUGAGAGGGUGACCGGCCACACUGGAACUGAGACACGGUCCAGACUCCUACGGGAGGCAGCAGUGGGGAAUAUUGCACAAUGGGCGAAAGCCUGAUGCAGCAACGCCGCGUGAGGGAUGAAGGCCUUCGGGUUGUAAACCUCUUUUUAGCAGGGAAGAAGCGAAAGUGACGGUACCUGCAGAAAAAGCACCGGCUAACUACGUGCCAGCCGCCGCCGUAA